AACGAACGCUGGCGGCAUGCCUAACACAUGCAAGUCGAACGAGACCUUCGGGUCUAGUGGCGCACGGGUGCGUAACGCGUGGGAACCUGCCCUUAGGUUCGGAAUAACACCCCGAAAGGGGUGCUAAUACCGGAUACUGUCUUCGGACCAAAGAUUUAUCGCCUUUGGAUGGGCCCGCGUUGGAUUAGCUAGUUGGUAGAGUAAAAGCCUACCAAGGCGACGAUCCAUAGCUGGUCUGAGAGGAUGAUCAGCCACACUGGGACUGAGACACGGCCCAGACUCCUACGGGAUGCAGCAGUGGGGAAUAUUGGACAAUGGGCGAAAGCCUGAUCCAGCAAGGCCGCGUGAGUGAUGAAGGCCUUAGGGUUGUAAAGCUCUUUUACCCGGGAUGAUAAUGACAGUACCGGGAGAAUAAGCUCCGGCUAACUCCGUG
RNAcentral lists this ribosomal RNA (433 nucleotides) under uncultured bacterium. RNAcentral's name for it is "partial 16S ribosomal RNA". It matches the Rfam family "Bacterial small subunit ribosomal RNA", at positions 29 to 507 of the family's 1533-position model. The record is from RNAcentral.